GCUCUUGUUGUCUAAUGGAUAAAACGCUGGCUUCCGGAGUCAAAGAUUGUGAAUUCAAGUGUUACCAGGGGUG
RNAcentral lists this transfer RNA (73 nucleotides) under Stegodyphus mimosarum. It matches the Rfam family "tRNA". Rfam says of the family: Transfer RNA (tRNA) molecules are approximately 80 nucleotides in length. Their secondary structure includes four short double-helical elements and three loops (D, anti-codon, and T loops). Lineage: Eukaryota; Metazoa; Arthropoda; Arachnida; Araneae; Eresidae. The record is from Rfam by way of RNAcentral.